This 76-nucleotide transfer RNA is filed under the name Alphaproteobacteria bacterium. RNAcentral describes it as "tRNA-Lys". It matches the Rfam family "tRNA". From Rfam's summary of the family: Transfer RNA (tRNA) molecules are approximately 80 nucleotides in length. Their secondary structure includes four short double-helical elements and three loops (D, anti-codon, and T loops). Lineage: Bacteria; Pseudomonadati; Pseudomonadota; Alphaproteobacteria. The record is from RNAcentral. RNAcentral also lists the same sequence under 3 other names.
GGGCGCGUAGCUCAGUUGGCAGAGCACCUGACUUUUAAUCAGGUUGUCCCGGGUUCGAUUCCCGGCGCGCCCUCCA